This 1122-nucleotide long non-coding RNA is filed under the name Phasianus colchicus (ring-necked pheasant). RNAcentral describes it as "lncRNA (ENSPCLG00000009380.1)". Lineage: Eukaryota; Metazoa; Chordata; Aves; Galliformes; Phasianidae. The record is from RNAcentral.
GGACCGGCGGCAUGGCGGGGCGCGGCGGUGCGGGCGGUGCGGGCGCACGGCGGAGCGCGCUCCCUCCCGCAGCCGGACGGACACAGACAGAGAGGCGGGCGGCUGCCGCCGCGAGAGGAGGAGGAGGAGGAGGAGGAGGAGGAGGAGGAGGAGGAAGAGGAGGAGGAUCGCGCUCCGGGGGAAGCACCCCCCGCCCGCCCCCUUCCCCGGGAGCGGGCAGGAGAGAGCGCUCCGCGCGCCUUUGAUGAGGAGGCGCGGGCAUCCUCCCCCCGCCCGGCUCCAUACAAAGGCCGCUUUCCAGGAACUUUCCAGGAACCGCAUCAUGUGACAGGACCCGCUCCGAGCCGCACCGCUCCCGGGCCGCGCCGCUCCGCCGCAUCACCGCGCAACCCCCCUCCCCGCACGGGCCGCCGCUUCGCACCGCCCCGCGCGGAUCGCGCCGGAGACGCGAGGAAGCCUCCGCCGCAGGUCAGUGCCCGCCGGGGAGGGGGGGGGGGGUCGGGCAGCGGGAGCUCCGCGGCCGCGGCACCUGAGAGCGAGUGGGGGGGCGCGGCCUCGGGGCAGGGAGCGCCCGGAGGGGGGCGGGGGUGCGGGGGGGCGGUGCGGGCGCGGUGCCGCGGAGCUGCAGCGCGGUGCGGGGUGCGGGGGGGUCUGACGGGGAAACAAAGGGGAGCAAAGCGACGGUGGCCUCGGCUGUGCCGGGCUCGUCCCUGGCGAAGGGCGGGGAUCGCCCUCAACUUAACUGCGGUGUUGGGAAGGAGAUAUUUUUCGGGUCUGAAAGCGGAAGGAAUCGGGUUUGCGUUUGGCCGUUCGGUUUGCUCUAGGCCGGUAUCAAUCGCGGCAAAAUCAGCUCUACAAAUCGUGUGUGUGUGUGUGUGUGGUGGUGUGGUGGGGGGGGGGGCUGGGGGGUGCGGAGGACCCCUCGUCGGCGGAACGCGGCGCAGAAGGCCGCGGCCGGAACGGCCCCGACGGUGCGCGGGGGCUCCGCUGUGCCCCAACCGGGGACCGCGCCGUCCCUGCGUCGGGAACGGAGCUCCGGCAACGCCGGGGUCGGGGGGAGCCGCUCCGAGCCGUUCAGGAGUUUUAAACGCGCUUCUGCGGGGUGUGAGCGAGGAGCGUUAG